Molecule: non-coding RNA, 24 nt
Filed under: Arabidopsis thaliana (thale cress)
Lineage: Eukaryota; Viridiplantae; Streptophyta; Magnoliopsida; Brassicales; Brassicaceae
Source: RNAcentral
CCUUAGUCUGUAGAAUGGUUAAGU